Molecule: transfer RNA, 85 nt
Filed under: Felis catus (domestic cat)
Lineage: Eukaryota; Metazoa; Chordata; Mammalia; Carnivora; Felidae
Also listed under: 1 other name
Rfam family: tRNA
About the family: Transfer RNA (tRNA) molecules are approximately 80 nucleotides in length. Their secondary structure includes four short double-helical elements and three loops (D, anti-codon, and T loops).
Source: Rfam by way of RNAcentral
GCCUGGGUGGCUCAGUCGGUUAAGCAUCCGACUUCAGCUCAGGUCAUGAUCUCACGGUUCGUGGGUUCGAGCCCCACAUCGGGCU